UAUGGCCAGCCUGUGGCAGGUGGGGACACUCCAGCCCCUCGCCGGGCUGUGCUGGAAACCGUCAGAACUUACCUCACCAUCACUGACACUCAGUUGGUGAACAGUCUCCUGGAAAAAGCCAGCGAGAAGGUGCUCGACCCUGCCAGCCCUGACUUUACCAGAUUGUCUGUCCUGGACUUGGUCGUAGCCUUGGCUCCAUGUGCUGAUGAAGCCGCCAUCAGCAAGCUGUAUUCCACCAUCCGGCCCUA
Molecule: long non-coding RNA, 248 nt
Organism: Cebus imitator (Panamanian white-faced capuchin)
Lineage: Eukaryota; Metazoa; Chordata; Mammalia; Primates; Cebidae
Exons: 3
Source: RefSeq, a predicted model, not a curated record